GAUACUCUUCCUUGGGCUUUGGGCUGAUGGGCCGUCACUGCUAUUGGGCUUGUUUAGUACGUACCCCAUCAUUCCCCUUUUUAUAUUUAGUUUUUAAUUAAAAUGAAGAGAGUUUAUCAGUCACUACAAAACAUAUGCAUAAAUAAAUUAUGUUUAGUAUUCGUUUAUGAUGUAUCACGUCAAUAUUUCAAGUUAAACCUUAAGCACCAACAAUACAUGAAUCACAAUUAAGUCGGACACACAUUAUUCAUAAUUUUUAAUUCAUUACAGUAUUUACUUUAUUAGUCUUCAAUACAUAUAUUUUCAAAAUUAUGAUAUUCAUAGAGUUAAAAUAUAAUGGCAUAAAUAAAAUAAUUGUGUUACUCCCAAAUUUGUAACCCUAGCAGAAGUCCGCCUCUUUCUCUCCUCCUCUUUCUGCCUCUUUCUCUCCUUCUCCACUCUAUAACCCUAGAAGAAUUCUUCCUGCCUCCACUCUCGUUCUCUCCAAGACAGCAAGCAUCCAACCCAUCUCUUAUCUCUAUCCAUCCCGCCGCCUCCGCCCUCCAGCCCGUGCUACAGCCCGUCGCCUCCAGCGGUCGCCUCUGCCCUCCAGCCAUCGACGCAUCCUCCAUAAGAAGAUUUAUGUUAUCUUGGGUAAGCAAUCAUUUAUGUUAUCUUCAAAACUCAGCAUUACUUUAUACGGAGAUCAGAUCCAAACCCAAAGACGUCCACAAGUCAUUGCCAACUUAAGAAAACUCUUACAGAAAAAAUGCAAGUGUAGCAGCAGAAAAUGUAAAAUUGCCUCAUUCACCAAAGAUAAUCCAGUCCCGAUGUGAUCACUUCAUAGUUAAUUAGGCAUUUAUAAGUUUAUAUAGAUAAAAACUUGAGCUAACUGCUUUAAAAGUCACAAACUUUUCUCAUUUUUCGGUUUUUCCCACGAACAAAAAAAUUGGCGUAUAAUGUCAUGAACUUUAUAUUUGGUCGCCGUUUUCCCAUAACGGGUUUUCCGGCCAUGAAACAAGCUGACGUGGCUGCUAAGCGUAUAUGUUGAGUGGAUGGCAAAUUCUAAGUUGAUGUGUCUUAUCAUCCUCCACCACUCACUGCCACCACCAUGCCCCUACCACUCUUCCUCACCGCCAGCCGCUGCCGCCGAGGACUCCGAUCAGCGACCACCAUCACCGGAAUCAGUUGAACGAGCUGACCUACUCACUCUCUGUAUAAACCCAAAACCCCCAAAUCUACACCACCGCAAGAAGCAAUGGGAAGUUGUACAAUUGGCCCUUCCCCAUCUCCCUCACAUGAUCCACAUGGCCUUCUGCUCCACCCUUCCUUCUUCCGCAGCAAAAUGUAGUGACUCAAUUCAGCCCACGCUUGAAUCCGACCGCUCCAAUUUCCGGCGCCGUCGGAGGCGAGUAGAAGUUAUUGAGAAACCACUCCGUGUUGGAGAAGCUUCCAUCCGUUUUCAGACUCUGAAACUAGAUCGCUGCAUUGGAGCUCAGCGAUUCAAUCGAGGUCGCCAGAUUGCUGCGUUGAUCGUGAAACUCUAAAUUCUCCCCUUGAUUGAGAGGAAAAGCAAACCCUAAUCGAGAGGGAUCGAGGUUAAAGCAUGGCUGCUGUCAAAUCGCAGGCAAUAAAUCGGCGAAAUUAGAAGUGAAUUGAUGGUGAAAAACGCUGGUAUUUGAUGAUUUGAGGAGCUGGAUAUCCAUGGCGGGGGAGAAUUUGAGGGCGUCGUCGUUGGGGAGGGAUUGAUCAUCUUGUUCUUACGCCAGCCACCGCCGCCUCCUCCUCCUUCGCGCCGUUGCCGGAGAAGGAGCUUCUAGAGGAGAGAGCAACUCGCCGUCGGUGAGGUCUACCGACGACGUCGUUUUGUCUAUGGAAAACGACGUCGUUUCAUGAAUUUCCGGCCUUCUCCACGUCAGAUUUCAAGCUUGCCACGUCCACACAAUUUCAACCGGAAAACUCCAGGGUCGAGUCAAAUGGGAAAUACUCACAACCCAACAAAGUUCAUGACAUUAUACGCCAAUUUUUUUGUUCGUGGGAAAAACCGGAAAAUGUGAAAAUUUAUGACUUUUAAGGCAGUUUGCCCGAAAAACUUCUCACACAUAAAAUCUUUGACCAAAUGAUACGAACUUCUUGUCACAAAUCAACAUCAUAACUUGCAUCCUAGUGGUAUCCCCAACCUAACAACAUUCUGCAUUAUGCUGUUAUAAAUCUACUUUAACCGAACACUAAAAAGCAAAUGCAUUUUAGAUUUGUUUACCGCUUUCUCAACAGUAGAACUACAUAACCACAUUCUCUUUUUUUAGCCCUAAUUACACACAUGAUUGAGCAACGGAGUCUGAAGACUUGUCGUGAAAAUUAAUAUUACCACACAAUUCUAAUAAGAAUUAUAGCAACCACGAUAAGGGAAUUUUAAGUUUUAUGCUUAACGGCACACAACAAAUCCACUAAUUCACCUGAAGCUAGAGACAGAAGUCGCUGCAGUUUCAAAAAAUCCAAUCCUAACAACACGCGAAUUGUGGAGCUGCAGCAGCUGUUUGAAAGGGACUCGGCACCAUGCGACUGUGGAUAAAGCUUCUUACUUUGGCGGAGACGACGGUGGUGAUCUCAGCAUAAUAUUGCGCAAUUGGGGAUUCAGGAAUCAAAAUUCAGUGAUCGGAGAGCUGAAAAGGGUUCAAAAUUAGGGCUGCGAAUUAUAGUUUCAAAAAUCACUCAUAUUUAGAGUUGUUAUAUUGGGAUUAAGAGUCUACUAUUUCUUUUCUCUCAUUUUUCUGAUUUUUUCGUUGAUCAUUUAUUUUAUAUUUUUGUUUUCUCCUCUUGAAAUCUAGUACUCCUAUUGUAUAAUCUAAUUAAGUUUAGUUAAUUAUUAUUAAUUUUC
Molecule: long non-coding RNA, 2857 nt
Organism: Salvia splendens (bonfire salvia)
Lineage: Eukaryota; Viridiplantae; Streptophyta; Magnoliopsida; Lamiales; Lamiaceae
Exons: 2
Source: RefSeq, a predicted model, not a curated record